UACGGGGGGUGCAAGCGUUGUCCGGAAUCACUGGGCGUAAAGGGCGCGUAGGCGGCUCGGUAAGUAGGGGGUGAAAUCCUGCGGCUUAACCGCAGGGCUGCCUUCUAAACUGUCGAGCUCGAGCACGGUAGAGGCAGAUGGAAUUCCACGUGUAGCAGUGAAAUGCGUAGAGAUGUGGAGGAACACCGAUGGCGAAGGCAGCCCCCUGGGCUAACACUGACGCUCAUGCACGAAAGCGUGGGGAGCAAACAGG
This 253-nucleotide ribosomal RNA is filed under the name uncultured bacterium. RNAcentral describes it as "partial 16S ribosomal RNA". It matches the Rfam family "Bacterial small subunit ribosomal RNA", at positions 524 to 776 of the family's 1533-position model. The record is from RNAcentral.